GGAGGGAUGGCAGAGCGGACGAUUGCGACGGUCUUGAAAACCGUUGGGCCCUCACGGGUCCCGGGGGUUCGAAUCCCCCUCCCUCCGCCA
Molecule: transfer RNA, 90 nt
Filed under: Microthrixaceae bacterium
Lineage: Bacteria; Bacillati; Actinomycetota; Acidimicrobiia; Acidimicrobiales; Microthrixaceae
Also listed under: 1 other name
Description: tRNA-Ser
Rfam family: tRNA
About the family: Transfer RNA (tRNA) molecules are approximately 80 nucleotides in length.
Source: RNAcentral